GUUCGGUACGGUUCGGUUUUGCCAUAUUGAACAACCCUAGCUGAAACUGUGUAUUGCUUCAGCAAACUUUCCCCAAAGGCAGCAAGGUAUCUUUUGAUCACUGUUGAAAACAUAUAUUAAUAGCUUAAAAAAUAUAUGAUAUAAGAAAUACAUAAAUUAAUAUAUUACUUGAUGUCUCUCAAGCUGAACUCGAUUUUUUUUCUUUCUUUACCGUGACACUGCACAGUUUCCAGAUCUCCCAACUCAAACACUUGUCCAAUUACAUCUGAUAUUGUACACAUCAUAUGUAAGAUUCGUAAAACACUUUAGAAAAAUAUAGAAGUAAAAAUUUGUAUGAAUGUAUUAAACUAACCAAUUAAGUUGGUUGUAUCAAGUUUUCCACUUUGAAUGCUUUCAAAGUCAACCAAACUAAGGAACAUUUUUUCCUCUUGCAGUGUUGAAGGAGUAAUGUCAGUGGUGGGAAUGAAGACAAUCUUGUAUUGGUGAUUUGUAGUCUUGUAACUACCGCCAUUAUUAGUCACCAAGAAAUUGUCAAUGUUUCUCCAAGCACCAACAGUGCAGUUUCUGUAAAGAUUGAAGGUGUGGUGGAGUUAUGCGUAGACUGCAAUAUUUAUAAGUGCAGUUUCUGUAAAGAUGGAAGGUGUGGAGAUUUUUCCGGAAAUAUAGUAGUGGUGAUGUUACGUGAUUAAAGGAAUAAAAUACUCAGAAAAGUAUUUAUGUUCUAUCUUUUCAGAAAUCAUGGGGUUUUUUAUUUAAUUAUUAUUUAGGAAAUUGUAGUGUUUGUAUUUAUAAUCUGGGUUAUAAUAUUUUCGUAUAAUGAUGUGGAAAAUUCACUGAAUCAUAUGGUGACGUAAAGAACUUGAGCAAUUUCACAUUUUUUUAAUUAUAUUGUAUUAAAAAAGUUUGACGUAAAGAACUUGACAAAUUUCACAUUUUUUAAUUUUUUUUUAAAUUUUAUGAACUUGAGCAAUUUCACAAUGCAAGGAAAAACAGCUUUUUUUUUGUUAUUUCUGCUUAUUUGGUAGUAGAAAAUCGUGGAAAUAUAGUGGGUAAGAAACCAACCACGUUCUUUUUAUAAAAAUGAAAAAGGCAAUUAGAAAAAAAAACUGUUUUUUAAACGGACAUCACUGUGUGAUAUAUUUGAAUUGUAUAAUACGAUACAAUUAUGUAAAAGUUGGUUUUUUAAAAAAGGAAGGUCCAGUGGCAAAAAAAGUAAUAUUCCAGGUAUGGGUAGGGGUAAAAGAUAGGAAUGAUCCUGAAUUAAUAAUAUUGAUAUGCUGAGUCCUAAAGCUAUCCACGUAGGAUUAAAAAAUCCACCAAUAAUAUAGUGACAUCUCAGCAACAUUUCAGUCAACUUUUGCCUUUACGUCAAUCUUGAACAUCAUUGAUCUAUCUCUUUAUCUUCUUCUCUACAAUCUCAGCUGUUUCUCAUACUUAGAGAGCGGCUCAAAGGCUCAGCAAAACUUCUUCAGGUCCAGAUCUUAGCGAGAUUCCGAUUCUUACCGCCGGGAUCAGAAAAUCUGAGAGCGAGAAUCGACUCUCUGAGACAGAUGUUGGUGCUUUAUAUUCUCAGCUCAAAGAGCUCCAGAAGAAGAAUGCGGACAUGGAGGAGCGUGACAAAAUGUUGUACUCAAAGGAACAAAACACAGUGCCAUCUCUGAGAAAAGCUCUCAAGGAAAUUGCAAUGGAGAAAGAUGUUGCUGUUGUUUCACGAUUAGGAAUUUGAAGAAACGUGUCAAGGAGGCAGAGGAUGAACAAUAUCGUGGUGAGGAAGAUGCAGCAUCUCUCAGAGCAGAGCUUAACUUGAUACAACAGCAAACAAUGGGUACUUCGUUUGUUGGAGUUUCCCCGGACCAAGUUUUGGAGAAGGAGAUGGCCAAACUAAAAUUAGAAUUACAGGGAAUCCCCAAACCUUGACAUAUUUCCCCUCAAUAUUCAUCACUGCCGGUGUCUUCUUCAAAAAGCUACGAAUUUGAGGAAGACAAAUCAUUGUAUCAUGUCGCAACCUCUCUCUUGCGUAAGAAUCUCUAUCAAUCCGUUAAUUAUAUUCCAGUAUUUUCAUACUUUUAUCAUUUUCUCAUUGAUCCUAUUUUGUUGUUUGGCCUGAGAAACUAUGCGCAGUUGAAUUGUUCAAUAUAUUGUUGUUGGAAUAGUUGCAUAUUUGGAACUCACUAUAACUCUUAAGCAUAAAAAGAUGACCGCAAACAUGAAGUCCAUCAUCUAAUCGUGCAACAACCAUCAGAUUCAACCAUUAAAGAAUCAGUUUGAUUUACUAUAAGAAAACAGUCUUUAGGUGUCACGAUCUCUUACCUUUAUUAUUGCUGCCAUCAUGUUUUGUUUCUCAUGAAAUGACUUCUUUAUCUAGAUCAAAAGCAUUCUCAACAUCAGUGUCUUUUUGACUAAAAUAUUAAAGUCUUUGCUUAAUGAUCUAGAGCAGGUUUUGGACAAAUAUAACACUUCCCAUUGUUCACUUUGUCUAAGGUGAAUUGGCAAGGAUGGACCUAAGACUCACGGUUCAUAGAUUGAGAGCUAAGAAACAGAGGGGUAACCCAUUGACACCAGAAGAAACUGAUUUACUCCUUUCAGCUUUGGGUUUCUCUUAGUUAUGUCUCAGUUUACUCUACUGAAUCUUUUUCUCUUGAUGUACCAUUAUUAGUUGGUGGCCUUCCAAGGGACGUGUUGUGGAGAUAUAGGGUCCUGAUGUAUUAGAAAAGAAAAAAAAACGGGCUGAAGCAUUGAAACAAGGAGGUUAUUGUAGUUUUUUUAACUCUUCGUACUGAACCCUAUUCGAUUUGAAAGGCCUUGACUCCUCACUUGCUAAGAUAAUCAGUGUAAUAAAUCAGAGAAAUGACGUCUAUUAGAGCCUGAUUGGUGCAAACAGGCCCUUGGUCCUCUGGACACUUCAGUCCGCAGUUGUUCAGUUGGUGUUAUUGGUGGUGACAGUGUAGGAGAACUUGAGGAUGAGAUGGGUGAUGCUCAUAUGGCUAUCCAAACCAAGUUGAUGAGCCAAGCUUUCCAUAAACUGAGCCACUCUUUGUCGUUAUGGCAAAAACUUAUCAUCUUUAUAAAUCAAGUAUAGAACCGCUCCCAACAAACACCAAAUAAGGAUCGGUAAUUGGGGGGUUUGGCACUGUUUGCGGGCUCCACCGACACGUGGCGGCCCGCAAUUGGCUCAUUUUUAAUUUUUUUUUUUAAGAAAACAAAAAAAAAAAAACUUAAGGAUCGCUUAUGCGAUAAUCAUGGUCUAAGUAUCCAAAACUUGGUAACAAACUUUCAGUAUGUUAUUGCCUUUAAUAAAUUGGGCUUUAAUC
Molecule: long non-coding RNA, 3311 nt
Organism: Brassica napus (rape)
Lineage: Eukaryota; Viridiplantae; Streptophyta; Magnoliopsida; Brassicales; Brassicaceae
Exons: 10
Source: RefSeq, a predicted model, not a curated record